Long non-coding RNA from Cucurbita maxima (winter squash), 105 nucleotides. RefSeq lists it as uncharacterized. Lineage: Eukaryota; Viridiplantae; Streptophyta; Magnoliopsida; Cucurbitales; Cucurbitaceae. The record is from RefSeq and is a predicted model, not a curated record. The transcript has 3 exons.
UUUUGGUUAUGAUGUUGGUGUGAUUUUCGGGGCCCUUAGAUUUAGUCCUCUUCUCCCAUGUCGUUUUGGUUAUGAUUUUGAUGUUUUUAGAAAACCUGCGAUAUU